RNAcentral lists this ribosomal RNA (253 nucleotides) under uncultured prokaryote. RNAcentral describes it as "partial 16S ribosomal RNA". It matches the Rfam family "Bacterial small subunit ribosomal RNA", at positions 525 to 777 of the family's 1533-position model. The record is from RNAcentral.
ACGUAGGGGGCUAGCGUUGUCCGGAAUCAUUGGGCGUAAAGCGCGUGUAGGCGGUCCGGUAAGUCCGCUGUGAAAGUCGGGGGCUCAACCCUCGGAUGCCGGUGGAUACUGUCGGGCUUGAGUACGGAAGAGGCGAGUGGAAUUCCUGGUGUAGCGGUGAAAUGCGCAGAUAUCAGGAGGAACACCAAUUGCGAAGGCAGCUCGCUGGGACGUUACUGACGCUGAGACGCGAAAGCGUGGGGAGCAAACAGGA